This 743-nucleotide long non-coding RNA is filed under the name Linum usitatissimum (flax). Its description in RNAcentral is "long non-coding RNA (LUSI_LNC003138)". Lineage: Eukaryota; Viridiplantae; Streptophyta; Magnoliopsida; Malpighiales; Linaceae. The record is from RNAcentral.
UUAAACCUUGCAUUAUAAACUCAAACUCAAAAUCGUAUCACAAAUUCUAACUUUUGACCAUAAAUCAAUAUUAAUAGAUCAUAAACCCUAUAUAUCAAAUUCUAACUCAUAACACUAUACCCUAACGACUAACACCUCAGGGCGCUGGCUUUGGCUAAUUUGUCUACACUAAAGAGGCUAACAAUUGGCGAAGGAGGCGUGAUGCCGGUCCUCAGGAUCGUUCUCAUAAGGGACUGUUUAAAUCUGAAGACAAUAUCAGAGGGUAUCAAAUCUCUCGCCAAACUCAAGGAGUUGAGGCUCGAGAAUGUUUCAGUGCAGCUGGUGGAGCACAUUUGUGGAACUGAUCGUGCCAAUUUUCGACACAUACUCCUCAUCUCGUGUAAGUACUACUCUUCAACUGGAAGUUACAUCAAAGAAAAACUAGUGCUUUAGCUUAGAUGCUAAAAUCUGUUAUGUCAAUUGCUUGUAACAAUAUUCUUCGUACAUAUGGCUAUGAGGCAGCCAUUGAUGUUGUUUGUAUUGAUCUGUAUCAUGGUAGAUGUUCAACAUGUUUUUUUACUUGUUUCAGAAGUGAUCAGAAAGUUGGGUACGGGAAAUACGGUUUCGAUAGUAAUCAGAAAGUUGUAACUGUCAACAAUGGCAAUGAAUUUGUACCGAAAAUUGGAUAAAAACCUGUAUGAGACCAUCUUAACUGGUCAGAGAAUGACAAAGGAAGUUCUGCCUCAGCCGACUCUCUUCGAUCC